UUGUCCCAGAUGAGGGGAUCCCCCUGAGAAGGAAGUAAAGCUGGAUAGCAGCAGUGAAGGUGAAGCAUUGUGAAGGUGGUCUACUUGCAAGAUAUCCCAGCCCAGGAUGCCAGAGGACAGGUUCCGUGCAGAGAGGCAGAGCCGAAGUUUGCGAUCGGCCGCACCGAAGCCGG
Long non-coding RNA from Poecile atricapillus (Black-capped chickadee), 173 nucleotides. RefSeq lists it as uncharacterized. NCBI's taxonomy places the organism in Eukaryota, Metazoa, Chordata, Aves, Passeriformes, Paridae. The transcript is spliced from 4 exons. The record is from RefSeq and is a predicted model, not a curated record.